UAUACUUCUGAAGAUGCAGUAGGAAGGAAUGAGGCUACUUGAAGAAGAAGAGUAUUAAGGUCCAGCACGACCGGGUAAAAUUGGCAAUUUUUAAAGUCUUUGCUUCAUUCCCGUUUCACAACAACAAGCAAAGAGGGGCAGCUGUAAUACCCAAUUUUAGCCCGGGACCAUGCAGAUUAAAUAAAUAAAUAAAUAAAAAAUAAAUAAAACCAAAUAAAAUAAAAAUUCAGCCCAUUGUCCAUUUGCACCCAAAAUAAACCCAAGAUCUUAGCCCAGUUACAUAAAUAAUUAAAACCCAAAUAACCUAAACCCUAGCCCAAGAAGCAGCCCAAUACACCCAAC
RNAcentral lists this long non-coding RNA (342 nucleotides) under Gossypium raimondii (Peruvian cotton). RNAcentral describes it as "long non-coding RNA (GRAI_LNC011164)". Lineage: Eukaryota; Viridiplantae; Streptophyta; Magnoliopsida; Malvales; Malvaceae. The record is from RNAcentral.